RNAcentral lists this ribosomal RNA (408 nucleotides) under uncultured bacterium. Its description in RNAcentral is "bacterial SSU rRNA". It matches the Rfam family "Bacterial small subunit ribosomal RNA", at positions 976 to 1381 of the family's 1533-position model. The record is from RNAcentral.
UGGUCUUGACAUAGAAAGAACUUUCCAGAGAUGGAUUGGUGCCUGCUUGCAGGAGCUUUCAUACAGGUGCUGCACGGCUGUCGUCAGCUCGUGUCGUGAGAUGUUGGGUUAAGUCCCGCAACGAGCGCAACCCUCGUCGUUAGUUGCUAACAGUUCGGCUGAAAACUCUAACGAGACUGCCUACGCAAGUAGGAGGAAGGUGAGGACGACGUCAAGUCAUCAUGGCCCUUACGACCAGGGCUACACACGUGCUACAAUGGGGUAUACAAAGAGCAGCAAUACGGUGACGUGGAGCGAAUCUCAAAAAUGCCUCCCAGUUCGGAUUGUAGUCUGCAACUCGACUACAUGAAGUUGGAAUCGCUAGUAAUCGUAAAUCAGCUAUGCUACGGUGAAUACGUUCCCGGGUCU